Molecule: ribosomal RNA, 253 nt
Filed under: uncultured bacterium
Lineage: Bacteria
Description: partial 16S ribosomal RNA
Rfam family: Bacterial small subunit ribosomal RNA
Source: RNAcentral
UACGGGGGGGGCAAGCGUUGUUCGGAAUUACUGGGCGUAAAGGGCGCGUAGGCGGUCUGCUAAGUUGGAUGUGAAAACUCUGGGCUUAACCCAGAGCCUGCAUUCAAUACUGACAGGCUAGAGUUCUGGAGGGGAUAGCGGAAUUCCUGGUGUAGCGGUGAAAUGCGUAGAGAUCCGGAAGAACACCGGUGGCGAAGGCGGUCUGCUGGGGUAAUGCUGACACUGAUGCGCGACAGCGUGGGGAGCAAACAGG